UACGGAGGGCGCAAGCGUUGUUCGGAAUUACUGGGCGUAAAGCGCGUGUAGGUGGCUUGGAAAGUCGGGUGUGAAAUCCCUGAGCUCAACUCCGGAACUGCAUCCGAUACUGCCAAGCUUGAGUCUCGGAGAGGAUGGCGGAAUUUCCGGUGUAGAGGUGAAAUUCGUAGAUAUCGGAAGGAACACCAGUGGCGAAGGCGGCCGUCUGGACGAUGACUGACACUGAGACGCGAAAGCGUGGGGAGCAAACAGG
RNAcentral lists this ribosomal RNA (253 nucleotides) under uncultured bacterium. RNAcentral's name for it is "partial 16S ribosomal RNA". It matches the Rfam family "Bacterial small subunit ribosomal RNA", at positions 524 to 776 of the family's 1533-position model. The record is from RNAcentral.